RNAcentral lists this ribosomal RNA (440 nucleotides) under uncultured bacterium. RNAcentral describes it as "partial 16S ribosomal RNA". It matches the Rfam family "Bacterial small subunit ribosomal RNA", at positions 338 to 795 of the family's 1533-position model. The record is from RNAcentral.
CCUACGGGUGGCAGCAGUGGGGGAUAUUGCACAAUGGGGGGAACCCUGAUGCAGCGACGCCGCGUGGGUGAAGAAGCGCCUCGGCGUGUAAAGCCCUGUCAGCAGGGAAGAAAAUGACGGUACCUGAAGACGAAGCCCCGGCUAACUACGGGCCAGCAGCCGCGGUAAUACUGAGGGGGCAAGCGUUAUCCGGAUUUACUGGGGGUAAAGGGGGCGCAGACGGCGAUUCAAGCCAGGAGUGAAAACCCGGGGCUCAACCCCGGGACUGCCUUUGGCACUGCGUGGCUGGAGUGCAGGAGGGGCAGGCGGAAUUCGUGGUGUAGCGGUGAAAUGCGUAGAUAUCAGGAGGAACACCGGUGGCGAAGGCGGCCUGCUGGACUGCAACUGACGUUGAGGCCCGAAAGCGUGGGGAGCGAACAGGAUUAGAUACCCCGGUAGUC